ACAGGCUGCGUCGCGGAGGACAAUGAAAGAGGCUUUAAGGGAACUGGACAGGAAGGAUUUUGCGCAGGGUGUGCUCCUUAUCUUUAUGGUAAUCUGAUAUUGAAAAGAGUGUCCGCAUGUUUGCGGUGGAUUGAGUGUUCACCUGGCUGCGCUGCCCACCUGAAAUGCAGCCUGUGGAGUGAAGAGUCGGCAAUUUGGAAGCCCACCUUUCCUCCUUUCUGGUGGGCAUUUUUUUAGAUGCCAGGGGGAGAGCUUUCCCGCCUGACUCCCCGAGCCUAGGGGCUUUCCCAUGUCUUAACCCCACAUCACAAAAUUAAAUUUGGGCCAGGUGCGCGGUGGCUCACGCCGGUAAUCCCAGCGCUUUGGGAGGCCGAGGCUGGCGGAUCGCUUGAGCUCAGCAGUUCGAGACCAGCUUGAGCGACGUAUUAAGAUCUCGUUUCUACAAAAAAUAAAAUUAACCGGCCGUGGUGGCGCGCACCUGCGGUCCCAGCUCCUCGGGAAGAUGAGGUGGGAGAAUCGCUUGAACCCGGGAGGCGGAGGUUGCAGUGAGCCGAGAUCGUUCCACUGCACUCCAGCCUGGGCGACAGAGCGAGACCCUGUCUCAAACAACAACAAAAACUUUAUCAUUAUUUACUUAAAAGGCCUCCGCGUUGUGGUUAGAUAGUGACGUGUGUGCCAUCCUCCACUUUUUCCCCCGGCGGGUUGUUAAAUGUUUUGUUUUACCUCGGAGGUAUUUUGACUUUUUCAAAGUCACUGAUUAUUUAACCUCCUAGUUUCUCUUCUCGUCGACUGCAGCAAGCUUCCGGUUGCUCUGCCUGCCCUCAGUGUCCCCCAUCUACCAGCUGACCUUCCAGUCCUCCCACCCACGCCCUUGUCCUGCUUGCGGCUCCCGCAGGACUAAGCUCUGCUCCCCGCGCGCGGCUCACCCAGGUCCCAGUCGCUUUCAGCCGCGCGCUCACACGUUUUCCUGUCGCCUGCCCCCGUUCUGUUCGCGCGUGCUGCGCUCUCCAGCCACCCUGACGCCUGCCCGGGAUGAGUUUCCUCCCCACUUUGCCGCGGCCCCGCCGACCGACCGCUUCACUGCCGCCUUCCUGCAUUCUCGCAGACUACGUUGCGGCGUCCCCUGCUCCCGCCCUGAGGACGUCGCUUUUCUGGCACUUUCAUCCUAUGCAUUCUGUUGAGUCUGCUCACUGUCUCACACUGUGAGGAUUGGGACAGUGUCUUAUCACUUUCAUAACAGCGUCUGGCACUUGCUGAAGGAACACAUGAAUGGCGGUCUUGUCGCUGUCAAAGUCUUUGGAGUUUUUCAGUGUACUGUUUUUGAUAUGGGGUUUGGGAAUUUAGGUGGCUUUACUGUAUUUGGGAUAUUUGAGGGGAAAAUGAGCUAGAGGCGUUAAAAUGCUUUCUUCUGAUGGAACAACAAAAUUCUUAUGAAGGACCUUUCCCUGUCAAAAUCAGAGCAAAUAGUAAAGGAUAUAUACUAUUUGGAUAUAAAGAAUGAUUAUAAAGGAUGAUUGUUAAGAGAAAUAGUGAAAAUUAGUGUGGAAAGCUAUAACCAGAUCAACAUUUAUGAGCCAUCCAACAGAAUAAGGGUGUAGCUUUUUUAUGUAUACAAUCUCUAGGAUUCACUCUAGAGAGUGUAACUCCUGAUAUGGACUCCUGGUGCAACAUGCUUCUGUGUAUGUUUUAUAUUUUAAAAAAUCUAUAUAUAUUUAAAAUCUAAAUAUAUUUUUAAAAAUCUCAGUUUUGUUUUAGGAAAGUGUUUUUUCUCAAAAUUUAAGCCCAAAUGAUAAAAUCUGCCAAAUAGAAAACUAUUUUAAAUUGAUAAUAACAGUAUAGUUUCAUCAAAACUAAAAAUACCAGAUCUUUUGAUGUAUUUGUUUCCUAGCAGAGAAUUAAGUUUUCACGUUCUUACUGUUGGCCUCCUAGAUAUCAUGUGAGCAUGUCUUAAGGAAAAAUGCUCUUAAUGCCACUGUGGUUUCUACCUUCAUGUGCAAAUAGAAGAGAGUGGUGGUUUGUAAUAGGCCAUUCUUUCCAGAGAAAAGUUCAUGUGUAUUUCUGUAUAUGCAGCAUCCUCCUUAUUAUGUUUGGAUGUAAAGAUUUAUUAUUCUCUCUGAUGUUUUCAUAUUUUUUAAAUUUACAAUAUAAUAAAGAGGUACAGAGUUCUAAAUCAAUAAAAGAUGGGCUAUAAAAUGGAGGAGUAAAGUUGAUAUAUGAACCAUCAUUGUCAACAUUUUAGAUUUGAUUUUAACUGUAAAAAGCACAAAUGAUAUGCAUCAUAAAACAGCCUUAAACUGAAUGUCCACUUGGUGUGUUGCACUUUACCAGGCACUUAAAAUAUCAGUCCUGUCACAUAGCAACAGAAACCCACAGUGGCACGUUUAAAAAUGGGUAAUCAACGUAUUGAUUUUGAUGGAGCUUUUUCAGAAAUAACUGCUAUUUUAAUUUAACUUAUAAAUAGAAUACAAUAUCAAGUUCAAAUUAAGGGAGGAAAUCAUGCUGUAAAUAUACUGGAUUGAAAAACAUGGUUCUGGCCAGGCAUGGUGGCUCAUGCUUGUAAUUCCAGCACUUUGGGAGGCUGAGGUGGUUGGAUCACUUAAGGUCAGGAGUUCGAGACCAGACUGGCCAACAUGGUGAAACCCCAUCUCUACUGAAAAUACAAAAAUUAGCCCGCAUGGUGGCAUGUGCCUGUAAUCCCAGCUACUAGCUACUCAGGAGGCUGAGGCAGGAGAAUCACUUGAACCUGGGAGGCGGAGGUUGCAGUGAGCCGAGAUGGCGCUACUGCACUCCAGCCUGGGUGACAGAGUAAGACUCCAUCUCAAAAAAAAAAAAAAAGAAAAAGAAAAAAAAGAAAAACAUGGUUCUAAUACUGUCACUUAACACCUUUUCAGUUUUGAAUAAAUCACCUAACUUUUUGGUCUUUAGUUUCUAUAAGAGGACAUUUUUAUUUUAAUGAUCUCUGGCAUUUUUAUGGCAAUAAAAAUGUGUGAAUUCAAAG
RNAcentral lists this long non-coding RNA (2998 nucleotides) under Homo sapiens (human). Its description in RNAcentral is "HSALNT0367802". The record is from RNAcentral. Lineage: Eukaryota; Metazoa; Chordata; Mammalia; Primates; Hominidae.